Long non-coding RNA from Lactuca sativa (garden lettuce), 2090 nucleotides. RefSeq lists it as uncharacterized. Lineage: Eukaryota; Viridiplantae; Streptophyta; Magnoliopsida; Asterales; Asteraceae. The record is from RefSeq and is a predicted model, not a curated record.
UUUUUCUUAUUUAUUUAUAUAUAUACUAAUUUAGAAGUACAUGAUAAACAGUACUUCUUCAUGAUUGGUGGACUUUUUUUUCAUAAAUUUUGCCCAUUGGAAGUGUUGUUAAUAUUCGGUGCUACGUGUUAUUAUAUGCUCCCGCCUCCUAUUUCUUCCGAUUAAUCAUCUGCCAGAUCCUUACUACGUCUUCUUUCCCUUACUACGUCUUCUUACCCUUCUGUUUCCACAGGUGGGAACCGAUUCACUGAAUGAAGCGAAAAAAAUCCCUAAAACCACCCCACUGUCAUUAGAUCAUUUGCUUCUUUCUAUUCCCUAAAGGUUCGCAACCAAAAAAAGCUCUGCUAUCUUCUAUUUCGUUUGGCGACACCUCAAUCUCCCAUGAACAUGCUUCGAGCUCCGUCGUCUCAGGGAUGCUUCACCCGUUACCGUCUUUGUCAGAAGUUGCUCAGAAGUCAAAUACCCAUUCUAUUGUUCGCCGAUUGUCAUCGAUUUCUAUUCACGAUCUCAGGAACACAGCCUCCACUCCGGUGCAGCAAGGCAGCAACGACACAAUCAAUUUUUGGUUUUACUGAUUACAGCGUCGGUUGUUCUUUCUGGUCGAUUUGUUUUUUUUGUCAAUUUUCUCCAAUCCAUCGUCCUUUCAUCUUCAUCUGUUGAAUUUUCCUCUAUUCACUUUAUCUCAUGUGGAGGAUGUGUUUGCUGAAGAAGAAUGGAGCGAUACGUGAUGUCUGCAAUAAGGAAUGAGCCGAUAAGUUCUGCAAAAAACGCCCAAAAUAUUUUCACUGAUCUGAACCACCGAACGUAGGUAAGGUCUCAAACCCUCUAACUUUUUAUUUUUAUGUCGAGCAAUCAGCAACUCAGAACAAUCGAUUUAUCGCCACUAAAUGUGACUGAUUUGUUUUGUAGAAAUCAAAAUCCAUAGACUCAUUCCAUUCACCAAAAAACCAACUUCACCACACCAUCUUCCUCCAAUUUUCAGUUCUCUUCUUUUUGACACCUAUGUCGGUGUUGCUUUUCUAAACUUCUUCUGAUUCCAACCUUCAUCGUGGAUGUCUUAGAAUGUGGGAAAAGGCUAUAAUGGAAUUAUAGAAGACUUUAGAUGAUAAAGAAUUAAAGAUAGACAACUUCAUGCGAUUAGAUUGGAACAUGAAGUGCUACGCGUAAAUUGUAAACUGUAAACUAUAAACAUUUGUUUCCUUUUAUUUUUUUAUUUGUUAUUGUUUAAUUCCAUUGUUAUUAUCUAUUGGUACAGGUAUGGCUAACUUUUGCCAUUCUGGUAAUCUAAGUAUAUCUUUAAUCUUGCACAUAAGGUGUUUGAUGUAUUGCCUAACUAAGUUACCUGUUUAUUAUUUUUAUUUUUUUGGUAACAGGGAUAUUUUUGUGACUUUGCUCAAGUAUACAGGUUCAUUGAUAAAUUGUGAACUGAUAAUUGAUGGUGGUUCGGCAAUGAUCAGGGCUGAUUCCAGAUUUGCCUGGAUUACCAGCCGAAGUGAAGUUUGACCCGAAAGAUAAACAAAUUAUUUUGCAUUUGAAGGCUAAGGUUACCCCAGAGGUUUUACACACUACUUCUUGGACCUUUCCAAUAUUUAGAUCUACAAUUUCCAACGAGGGUAUUUGCGGAAUUGGCGUUAGGGUCAAUAACAGCCAAGGACGAAAUGGUCAUUUUCAAUGGGAGGAGUUUAGCGGAGUUCUUUAGAAGUACAAUUCUGUUACUUGCAACUGACUGCCUCAAUUGCCGAAGAAGAUGUUGAAAAACUUGAUGAUGCAAUUGAAAUCAAGGAAUUUAAUACCAUAUCUAAAAUGAUGAGUCAUAUCAUGGGGCUAACAAUGAGUUACGGGUGUUGACGGCAGUUGAAGUUGGUGUUAAUUUUUGUUCUUAUAUAAAUAUAAGUUACCGUUGAAUUAUUAUCUAAAAUUGGCGUUGAAUACUUUUUUCAUGCAGGCUGGUUUCUUUUUUUGUUUUGUGAUGUGGAAAGUGUUUUGAAUUGCAAUUACUAACAAAUAGCUUUGAUUGAUGUAAAUUUUUUCCUGCUUUGACCCAUGUAAUUUUCUAAUAAAAAGCUCUCUCGGACACAUCAACAAAGUAA